UAACGGCGUCGAGCGGCGGACGGGUGAGUAAUGCCUGGGAAAUUGCCCUGAUGUGGGGGAUAACCAUUGGAAACGAUGGCUAAUACCGCAUAAUAGCUUCGGCUCAAAGAGGGGGACCUUCGGGCCUCUCGCGUCAGGAUAUGCCCAGGUGGGAUUAGCUAGUUGGUGAGGUAAGGGCUCACCAAGGCGACGAUCCCUAGCUGGUCUGAGAGGAUGAUCAGCCACACUGGAACUGAGACACGGUCCAGACUCCUACGGGAGGCAGCAGUGGGGAAUAUUGCACAAUGGGCGCAAGCCUGAUGCAGCCAUGCCGCGUGUAUGAAGAAGGCCUUCGGGUUGUAAAGUACUUUCAGCAGUGAGGAAGGUGGUGUGCUUAAUACGCACAUCAUUUGACGUUAGCUGCAGAAGAAGCACCGGCUAACUCCGUGCCAGCAGCCGCGGUAAUACGGAGGGUGCGAGCGUUAAUCGGAAUUACUGGGCGUAAAGCGCAUGCAGGUGGUUUGUUAAGUCAGAUGUGAAAGCCCGGGGCUCAACCUCGGAAUUGCAUUUGAAACUGACAGACUAGAGUACUGUAGAGGGGGGUAGAAUUUCAGGUGUAGCGGUGAAAUGCGUAGAGAUCUGAAGGAAUACCGGUGGCGAAGGCGGCCCCCUGGACAGAUACUGACACUCAUAUGCGAAAGCGUGGGGAGCAUACAGGAUUAGAUACCCUGAUAGUCCCACGCCGUAUACGAUGUCUACUUGAAGGUUGUGGCCCUUGA
RNAcentral lists this ribosomal RNA (758 nucleotides) under Vibrio caribbeanicus. RNAcentral describes it as "bacterial SSU rRNA". It matches the Rfam family "Bacterial small subunit ribosomal RNA", at positions 83 to 835 of the family's 1533-position model. The record is from RNAcentral. Lineage: Bacteria; Pseudomonadati; Pseudomonadota; Gammaproteobacteria; Vibrionales; Vibrionaceae.